AAGCUUAGGAUGAACAAACCGAGGGCCUUCAAAGCCCUAGACAAGAGCAAUGAUCUCUUAGCCUCUGCCU
This 70-nucleotide transfer RNA is filed under the name Draco cyanopterus. RNAcentral describes it as "tRNA-Trp". Lineage: Eukaryota; Metazoa; Chordata; Lepidosauria; Squamata; Agamidae. The record is from RNAcentral.